Non-coding RNA from Beta vulgaris subsp. vulgaris (sugar beet), 92 nucleotides. The record is from Rfam. Lineage: Eukaryota; Viridiplantae; Streptophyta; Magnoliopsida; Caryophyllales; Amaranthaceae.
UCUAUGUGGUGAUGAUUUAUGGAUAUUCACAUGUCAGACUUCAGAGAUUGCUCGCAAUCUGUGAGAUUAAAAUCCUUAUUUCUAAACACAGC